GGGGAAUAUUGCACAAUGGGGGAAACCCUGAUGCAGCGACGCCGCGUGCAGGAAGAAGGUCUUCGGAUUGUAAACUGUUGUCGCAAGGGAAGAAGACAGUGACGGUACCUUGUGAGAAAGUCACGGCUAACUACGUGCCAGCAGCCGCGGUAAUACGUAGGUGACAAGCGUUGUCCGGAUUUACUGGGUGUAAAGGGCGCGUAGGCGGACUGUCAAGUCAGUCGUGAAAUACCGGGGCUUAACCCCGGGGCUGCGAUUGAAACUGACAGCCUUGAGUAUCGGAGAGGAAAGCGGAAUUCCUAGUGUAGCGGUGAAAUGCGUAGAUAUUAGGAGGAACACCAGUGGCGAAGGCGGCUUUCUGGACGACAACUGACGCUGAGGCGCGAAAGUGUGGGGAGCAAACAGGAUUAGAUACCCUGGUAGUCCACACCGUAAACGAUGGAUACUAGGUGUAGGAGGUAUCGACCCCUUCUGUGCCGCAGUUAACACAAUAAGUAUCCCACCUGGGGAGUACGACCGCAAGGUUGAAACUCAAAGGAAUUGACGGGGGCCCGCACAAGCAGUGGAGUAUGUGGUUUAAUUCGAAGCAACGCGAAGAACCUUACCUGGGCUUGACAUCCCUGGAAUCGAGUAGAGAUACUUGAGUGCCUUCGGGAAUCAGGUGACAGGUGGUGCAUGGUUGUCGUCAGCUCGUGUCGUGAGAUGUUGGGUUAAGUCCCGCAACGAGCGCAACCCCUAUUGUCAGUUGCCAUCAUUAAGUUGGGCACUCUGGCGAGACUGCCGGUGACAAAUCGGAGGAAGGUGGGGACGACGUCAAAUCAUCAUGCCCCUUAUGCCCAGGGCUACACACGUACUACAAUGGCCGAUAACAAAGUGCAGCGAAACCGUGAGGUGGAGCGAAUCACAAAACUCGGUCUCAGUUCAGAUUGCAGGCUGCAACUCGCCUGCAUGAAGUUGGAAUUGCUAGUAAUCGCGGAUCAGAAUGCCGCGGUGAAUACGUUCCCG
Molecule: ribosomal RNA, 1005 nt
Filed under: uncultured bacterium
Lineage: Bacteria
Description: bacterial SSU rRNA
Rfam family: Bacterial small subunit ribosomal RNA
Source: RNAcentral